This 508-nucleotide ribosomal RNA is filed under the name uncultured bacterium. RNAcentral describes it as "partial 16S ribosomal RNA". It matches the Rfam family "Bacterial small subunit ribosomal RNA", at positions 28 to 523 of the family's 1533-position model. The record is from RNAcentral.
GAUGAACGCUAGCUACAGGCUUAACACAUGCAAGUCGAGGGGAAACGAUAUUGGAAGCUUGCUUCCGAUAGGCGUCGACCGGCGCACGGGUGAGUAACGCGUAUCCAACCUGCCCACCACUUGGGGAUAACCUUGCGAAAGUAAGACUAAUACCCAAUGACGUCCAUAGAAGACAUCUGAAAUGGAUUAAAGAUUUAUCGGUGAUGGAUGGGGAUGCGUCUGGUUAGCUUGUUGGCGGGGUAACGGCCCACCAAGGCGACGAUCAGUAGGGGUUCUGAGAGGAAGGUCCCCCACAUUGGAACUGAGACACGGUCCAAACUCCUACGGGAGGCAGCAGUGAGGAAUAUUGGUCAAUGGGCGAGAGCCUGAACCAGCCAAGUAGCGUGCAGGAUGACGGCCCUAUGGGUUGUAAACUGCUUUUAUAAGGGAAUAAAGUGAGCCUCGUGAGGCUUUUUGCAUGUACCUUAUGAAUAAGGACCGGCUAAUUCCGUGCCAGCAGCCGCGGUAA